GAAUUGUUCACAAUGGGCGCAAGCCUGAUGACGCAAUGCCGCGUGGAGGAUGAAGGUCUUCGGAUUGUAAACUCCUGUUGCCAGGGACGAAUGGCUCCGACCUAAUACGUCGGAGAAUGACGGUACCUGGUGAGGAAGCCCCGGCUACCUCUGUGCCAGCAGCCGCGGUAAUACGUAGGGGGCAAGCGUUGUCCGGAUUCAUUGGGCGUAAAGAGCGUGUAGGCGGCCAGGUAGGUCGGUUGUGAAAACUGGAGGCUCAACCUUCAGACGUCGAUCGAAACCAUCUGGCUAGAGUCCGGGAGAGGAGAGUGGAAUUCCUGGUGUAGCGGUGAAAUGCGCAGAUAUCAGGAAGAACACCCGUGGCGAAAGCGGCUCUCUGGAACGGUACUGACGCUGAGACGCGAAAGCGUGGGGAGCGAAC
This 421-nucleotide ribosomal RNA is filed under the name uncultured bacterium. RNAcentral's name for it is "bacterial SSU rRNA". It matches the Rfam family "Bacterial small subunit ribosomal RNA", at positions 359 to 773 of the family's 1533-position model. The record is from RNAcentral.